UCGGGUAAUAGCGCAGUUGGUAGCGCGCCUGGUUCGGGACCAGGAGGUCGGCGGUUCAAAUCCGCCUUGCCCGAU
RNAcentral lists this transfer RNA (75 nucleotides) under Spirochaetia bacterium. RNAcentral's name for it is "tRNA-Pro". It matches the Rfam family "tRNA". From Rfam's summary of the family: Transfer RNA (tRNA) molecules are approximately 80 nucleotides in length. The record is from RNAcentral. Lineage: Bacteria; Pseudomonadati; Spirochaetota; Spirochaetia.